Molecule: ribosomal RNA, 492 nt
Filed under: uncultured bacterium
Lineage: Bacteria
Description: partial 16S ribosomal RNA
Rfam family: Bacterial small subunit ribosomal RNA
Source: RNAcentral
AGUGAACGCUGGCGGUAGGCCUAACACAUGCAAGUCGAACGGCAGCACAGUAAGAGCUUGCUCUUACGGGUGGCGAGUGGCGGACGGGUGAGGAAUACAUCGGAAUCUACUUUUUCGUGGGGGAUAACGUAGGGAAACUUACGCUAAUACCGCAUACGACCUACGGGUGAAAGCAGGGGAUCUUCGGACCUUGCGCGAUUGAAUGAGCCGAUGUCGGAUUAGCUAGUUGGCGGGGUAAAGGCCCACCAAGGCGACGAUCCGUAGCUGGUCUGAGAGGAUGAGCGGGCAGACGGGAACUGAGACAGGGGCCAGACUGCGAAGGGAGGCAGACGUAGGGAAUGUGCGGCAAUGGGCGACGGCCUGACGCAGCAAUGCGGCGUGAGUGAUGAAGGGCUUCGGAUCGUAAAACUCUGUUAUUAGGGAAGAAAAACUGUGUAAGUAACUAUGCACGUCUUGACGGUACCUAAUCAGAAAGCCACGGCUAACUACGUG